Non-coding RNA from Ciona intestinalis (vase tunicate), 1862 nucleotides. The record is from RefSeq and is a predicted model, not a curated record. NCBI's taxonomy places the organism in Eukaryota, Metazoa, Chordata, Ascidiacea, Phlebobranchia, Cionidae.
UUAUAAAUAUAUUAUAUUGUCUGGUUAUUAACAUUAUCUUUAAUUUUAGGUUUUUGUAAAAAUAGGUUUAAAUUUUUGACGUGGUAGGUUACCAUGGCAACUAAGAGCGAAGAAGAGGAAAAAGAUGAAUCAGCAAAUUCUUGGUGGGGUUCGUGGUAUGACUCAGCAAAAAAAAAACUUGUUGAAACGAAUGAGUUUAUCGCUCGAGAUUUGAAGGAAUUUACGCAAGUCGUUAAAGAUGACACGUCAAAAUUUGUCGCACAAACUGCUAUUUCUAUGAAAGACCAGCUAAACAUAAAGGCAAACGUGGAAGAAGCAUCGGAAGCCACGAAAGUCGUCGCGACCUCCAUCAGUGGAUUCCUGGGUAGCGUGGUUAAGCAUGUGACACCGUCACCCCCGGAUCAGGAUGAAAAUGCCGAUUCAACGAUGUUCGUUGGAACACAAUCUGGAAUGAAAGUUAUUUCACCGGCCGAGGCACGAUUGUUCUCGAUACAAACCGACCCCGCUACUUAUUGUAAUGAACCUGAUAACACCCCCGAGUUCCACCAAUGGUUGGAAACGUUCGAACUUUCCGAGAAAAAAGAAGAAUUAUCGCUGUUGAUGUUGGAUUAUAAAGAGGUCCGAACCUUAUACACCCGAUUGGUCCCCGAUGCAGUAUCUCAUGUUGAUUUCUGGCAACGAUAUUUCUACAAGAAGUAUUGUUUGGAUGAAGCGGAGAAACGUCGUGCUCUGUUGGUCGAACGAGCAGCAAAAAAAGAAACCGAACUUUCGUGGGGAGAUGAUGACGAUUAUGAUUGUGUUGAAUCUGAUGUUGUCAUGGUGAUACCACCUGUUGUUAAUGAUGUCACUAAGGAAACUGAUGAUGUCACUAAGGAAACUGAUGAUGUCACUAAGGAAACUGAUGAUGUCACUAAGGAAACUGAUGAUGUCAUAGUUGAAGCUGAUGAUGUCACUACGAAAGUCACUGCUAAUACUGAUGAUGUCAUCAAUAAAGUUGAUGAUGUCACCACUGAUGAUGUCACUGCCACAAAUGAGAAAUCAUCUGAAGACAAGACAACCGAUUGUGAUGUAACAAAGGAAAAACAAUCAGAAUCUGACAAACUAUUAAAAGACAAUGAUGUCAUAAUUACUACUGAUGAUGUCACAAAAGAAGCUGAUUGUUCUACAAAAGACAGCAUUGUUACAUCACAGACAGUAAAAGUUGAUUGUGAUGUCAUAAACAAGGAGAGUGAUGCAACAGAUGCGAAAACAAACGUUGAAACGAAAGAUAAAUUUCGAUGAAACGCUUUUGUCCACAGCUCCAGUUUCAGAAUCAACUAGCAAUGAAAGUUCGGAUUGGGAAAAAGAAUUUGAUCUUGAAUUGAAUGAUAAAGAUGAAUUGUUACAAGAUAUUGGAGAUGAGGAGAUUGAGGGGUGGGACGAGUGGGAGUAAUUUCUUUGUUUCUUUCUUUAUCUUUGGUGUGUACAUUGUUGAGAUUUUAUAUUUGCUGUUUAUUGCUUUAUAUUAUGCGCAAGAGGUUUAUGGGCACCAGGUUGUGUUAGAAAAUUAUUUGAUAACGAAAAUAUUCUGUAUUGGUGAGGUCAAACAGCGAGACACGCCCUGGGACUUAAGAUUUCUACCACAGUUGUUCCAUUACCACACUUUUACACAUAAAUAUUGGCAUGGCUUAAAAAUGCACAGAGUGUUGUUUAUAUAUAGGGAACAUUGUUUAAGCAAAGAUAUUUUUCUUAUUUGUUAAUUACAAGAUUACUGUAUUAAUAUAUCGGUGUUUCUCAUAAUAAGAUCGCUUUCUGUCUUUAUGAAACACAUUAAAAGAUUUUGUACAAAAUGUUUGGUGUUAAAAAUAAAAUUGUGUUGAGUA